UAUAUUAUCUUUACAGAAAGAUACAUGAGAAAUUGGACAAGAUAUUACAGCAGACGAGCAAUAGAAGCCGAAAGCAUACACCUGAAAAGCCAGCAUUUUUACCAAUAUCAUCAAUAGCGGAUGUUGAAAAAUUUGAAACUGCUAAUGAUGAAGAAUAUAUGACAUUGGUGAAUUAUUUGAUUUUUAUUGGUGGCUUCAAUGCCAAAGAGAGCAUACAUUUAUGCGUAAAAGAGAUUUUUCAAGAUCGCUUAAUGACUUCAUACACUUGGUUUGGUCGUGAAAAUCAACGGCCAUUAUUUAAUACCCGCUUGGUUAAAGCUAUUUAUGAUGCUGUAUGCGAAAA
Molecule: long non-coding RNA, 343 nt
Organism: Camponotus floridanus (Florida carpenter ant)
Lineage: Eukaryota; Metazoa; Arthropoda; Insecta; Hymenoptera; Formicidae
Exons: 3
Source: RefSeq, a predicted model, not a curated record